Molecule: ribosomal RNA, 397 nt
Filed under: uncultured bacterium
Lineage: Bacteria
Description: bacterial SSU rRNA
Rfam family: Bacterial small subunit ribosomal RNA
Source: RNAcentral
GACGAACGCUGGCGGCGUGCUUAACACAUGCAAGUCGAGCGGUAAGGCCCUUUCGGGGGUACACGAGCGGCGAACGGGUGAGUAACACGUGGGUGACCUGCCCUCAGCUCUGGGAUAAGCCUGGGAAACCGGGUCUAAUACUGGAUAUGACUCCAUGACGCAUGUUGUGGGGUGGAAAGCCUUGUGCGGCUGAGGAUGGGCCCGCGGCCUAUCAGCUUGUUGGUGGGGUGANGGCCUACCAAGGCGACGACGGGUAGCCGGCCUGAGAGGGCGACCGGCCACACUGGGACUGAGACACGGCCCAGACUCCUACGGGAGGCAGCAGUGGGGAAUCCUGCGCAAUGGGCGAAAGCCUGACGCAGCGACGCCGCGUGAGGGAUGACGGCCUGGUUGUAAC